This 102-nucleotide transfer RNA is filed under the name bacterium. RNAcentral's name for it is "tRNA-OTHER". It matches the Rfam family "tRNA". From Rfam's summary of the family: Transfer RNA (tRNA) molecules are approximately 80 nucleotides in length. Their secondary structure includes four short double-helical elements and three loops (D, anti-codon, and T loops). The record is from RNAcentral. RNAcentral also lists the same sequence under 1 other name.
GCCUUCGUAGUAUAGCCUGGUCAGUAUAGGCGGCUGUGGACAACAAGAUUGAAUAUUGUUGGAAGAAACCGCUCGAGGAGGGUUCAAAUCCCUCCGAAGGCC